Non-coding RNA from Camellia sinensis, 1223 nucleotides. The record is from RefSeq and is a predicted model, not a curated record. NCBI's taxonomy places the organism in Eukaryota, Viridiplantae, Streptophyta, Magnoliopsida, Ericales, Theaceae.
CAUGGCCAUUAACUUGCUCAGAUACUCUGGAAUCAGUCAUCGUAUUUAUGUGGAGUGUACUCUAUAAAUCAUUUGUUUUUACCAAUAUGUUCAUCAUCAAAUUUAUGGUAGAUGAAUAGACUAUAGUGUGUGCACAAUUGCACAUGGAGUCUCUGUGUAUUUAUGUGGAGUCUCUGUGUAUACACAUUUCAUAUGUGGUAUCCAUUAUGCUUUACCUCGCUUAACUCAAAUUAUCAAAUUUGCUACGAACACAGAAACUGGUCAAAGAAUUUACAUGAUUUGUUAAUGAGAUCCACUUUUGAAAAACUAUAUUCGGCCAUAUAUAUUUUGUGUCCAAUUUUGUGAUCAGUUAUUUCAAAAUUAUUAGGGGACGUGGAUGUAAUGGAUACAAUUGCUUUUUGUAACUACAGUGGGGCUUGUUUGACAAGCAAUUUGGGAGGUCAGAUGCUCAAGAGCCAGGUCCAGAAGGGAGGGUUCCCCUGUGGGUGAAAGCAAAGUGUUCAGGAAAUGAAAGAUAAGUUCUCGGCCAUAGGCUUUGGUCCCCGCCAGGUAUUUCAAUUAUCAUGACAUCAACUGGCAGAAACUUAUCAUCACAUCACUCCAGCUCAUGGAAUUGUUAAUUUAUCCAGUUAUCGAUCUAUGAAGAAAUACACUCAUUUAAAUUCUCAUCCUCUUCUUUUACACUCUUUAUUUAUGUGUUUUUCCUUUCCAUUUAUUUGGUAAGUAAGCAUUUCGUUGAUGCUAAAUCUGGAUUUUCCUAUAACACUUGAAUAUUAUCAUUGGAGUCACUUAGCUCUAUUGUUACAUGAUAUAUCUAAGGCUUUCAUAUGUGUUGUCUUUAUGUAGUCAAUAAGUGUUGAACAGGAAAAAUGGGUUUAGGCGGCAAUAUGGUUUACUAGGUAUAAAAGUGGGGUUCUUGGAUCAAAGCCGAUCAACAUGGUUGAAACCAGAUGAUAUUCUGUAUUUAUUAUGUUUUUCUGCUUUGUUACCGUUCAUGUUUGAUUCAAAUUCAUGAUCACGUAAUUCAUUCUCAUAUUCAAUGAUAAGCUUGGGACAGGUGGAUGUGCCUGUUUAUGCAGCAGGAACUGGUGUUAAACCUGCAGAAAUAGCUAGGCAAGGUCUAGAAGAGGCCAAAAGGAAGAAUAUGGAUGUGGUCAUAGUGGACACAGCUGGAAGACUUCAGGUUUGGUAGAGGGAACUAGAAGCUCAUCUUAAAUUCAGAU